CAGCAGCCGCGGGAAUACAGAGGGUGCAAGCGUUAAUCGGAAUUACUGGGCGUAAAGCGCGCGUAGGCGGUUUGUUAAGUUGGAUGUGAAAUCCCCGGGCUCAACCUGGGAACUGCAUCCAAAACUGGCAAGCUAGAGUAUGGUAGAGGGUGGUGGAAUUUCCUGUGUAGCGGUGAAAUGCGUAGAUAUAGGAAGGAACACCAGUGGCGAAGGCGACCACCUGGACUGAUACUGACACUGAGGUGCGAAAGCGUGGGGAGCAAACAGGAUUAGAUACCCCAGUAGUCCCUGUCUCUUAUCA
This 301-nucleotide ribosomal RNA is filed under the name uncultured bacterium. RNAcentral describes it as "partial 16S ribosomal RNA". It matches the Rfam family "Bacterial small subunit ribosomal RNA", at positions 509 to 809 of the family's 1533-position model. The record is from RNAcentral.